AUACACAGCAAAUGUCAGAGUGUUAAAAUCCCAGAGUUUUGAUGACCAGAGUAUAAUUUAUACACUUUGGAGUAAACUGGGCUUAAAGUACACUUGUCAGGUUUCACCAGAAACUCUCUCAAGUGUUAGUGUAUUGGUUCAGUGUUGAUGUGGAGCUGUUGUAGUGUAAAUAGUGGGAUGAUGAACACUUUGAGAGUCAAUCUGUUGCUGUCCCGUCCGCACAUGAGUUUAGGUUUCGAUACGUCAUCAGAUCGACAACGCGUUGUCAUUGGUUGAAUCAUGAUGCAGCCUCGUGGACACCAGUUUCCAACUGACAUCUGAAGUCGUCGACAUUUUGAUUCUGCGGGACCAUAGUAAUAUGUGAGGAAAACUACAGCAAUGCUUUUCAAAGUGCAGUACCAAGGAAAGAAGAAGUACAUCAAACUCAAUGGAGUAUCAUAUCCAGCAUUUCUCAGGGAGGCUAAAGAGAAGUUCAGCAUACCCCCUGAGACAAACAUGUAUGUGCUGGAUGACAGUGGAACAGAGGUUGAUGAAGAGGUCUUCAGCGACAUCUUGGAGGAAAAAGCAGACAUCCUGUGGACCAUUGUUAAUGUUCUUUCAGUUUCUGACUCUCCCAUCCAGUCCUCGUGCACAAACACCUUGUCACUAUCAUCACCCUCAUCGGACAGUGAUGCUUCUCUGAUGUCCCCAAAAAGACAGCGCAUUGAUGACACCUUUUGUGAUGUACCCAAAAAGUCUACAUACUGAUGACAGUUCUUCACAAGCCAAAGAGGUGAUGUUUUUUCAGAACAUUUCUCUUUAUGUUGUAAACAUUACAUUUACCUGUUACUGUUACCAUAAAAUUUUUACCUGUUGUCAAGCUUGUCAAAAGUAUUCUGGAACAAAAGCCUGGAGGUGAGAAAAUCCUUGCAAAAUAUGCAAUGACAGGAGAGAUGAAGGACCGAGCACGCCGUGAUCUUGUCAGCAUUGUUGUUGCUGAAAUGUUUGAAAAGUAUGGACGUGCUCCCCCUAUGGAUAAAAGAGCACAGUAUGCAUUGGGGAUAGUAACACUGUUCCCCUCUCUAAAAGAUCCCUACUCCAAAAAAGGCUAUGAACACUUUUUUGACAUAGACAGCAAUGAGGGCUACAUUGCCUGGAAGAUUAAAAACACACAGUGAGAACUCAGCAAUGGCGGUACCAAUGGGGGUAGGAGAAGGAGCUCUCACACUACAGGCAGCAGCGGACCAAACUUAGAGAGAGAAGUGACUAAAGUGCAGCAGUUGGAGGGAGACCAGUGUCGAGAGGCCAUAUCUCUACUGAAACACAGCACAGACAACGAACAGAUCUUCAUGAAAAUGAGAGAAACCUUCCAGCACAGGCAAAAGUUGAUCCAUGAUCCUGAGCAAUGCAGCACAGUGCUUACUGUGUUCUCAAGGUUUCUUGACACAAAAGGCCUGGUGGCGCAAGACUUUGACCUGUUGUUUGGAGCUGAGACUUCAUCAAAACUCCUUGAGAAAUGGGAUUUCCUGAAGGCCA
Molecule: long non-coding RNA, 1515 nt
Organism: Carassius gibelio (silver crucian carp)
Lineage: Eukaryota; Metazoa; Chordata; Actinopteri; Cypriniformes; Cyprinidae
Exons: 7
Source: RefSeq, a predicted model, not a curated record